RNAcentral lists this transfer RNA (73 nucleotides) under Deltaproteobacteria bacterium. Its description in RNAcentral is "tRNA-Ser". It matches the Rfam family "tRNA". Rfam says of the family: Transfer RNA (tRNA) molecules are approximately 80 nucleotides in length. Lineage: Bacteria; Pseudomonadati; Myxococcota; Myxococcia. The record is from RNAcentral.
CUUGGAGUAGCUCAGCAGGAAGAGCCGCGGGCUGCUUACCCGCGAGGCGCAGGUUCGAGGCCUGCCUCCAAGC